GAUGAACGCUGGCGGCGUGCCUAAUACAUGCAAGUCGAGCGAACAGACGAGGAGCUUGCUCCUCUGACGUUAGCGGCGGACGGGUGAGUAACACGUGGAUAACCUACCUAUAAGACUGGGAUAACUUCGGGAAACCGGAGCUAAUACCGGAUAAUAUAUUGAACCGCAUGGUUCAAUAGUGAAAGACGGUUUUGCUGUCACUUAUAGAUGGAUCCGCGCCGCAUUAGCUAGUUGGUAAGGUAACGGCUUACCAAGGCAACGAUGCGUAGCCGACCUGAGAGGGUGAUCGGCCACACUAGAACUGAGACACGGACCAGACGCCUAUGGGAGGCAGCAGUAGGGAAUCUUCCGCAAUGGGCGAAAGCCUGACGGAGCAACGCCGCGUGAGUGAUGAAGGUCUUCGGAUCGUAAAACUCUGUUAUUAGGGAAGAACAAAUGUGUAAGUAACUAUGCACGCCUUGACGGUACCUAAUCAGAAAGCCACGGCUAACUACGUG
RNAcentral lists this ribosomal RNA (497 nucleotides) under uncultured bacterium. RNAcentral's name for it is "partial 16S ribosomal RNA". It matches the Rfam family "Bacterial small subunit ribosomal RNA", at positions 28 to 507 of the family's 1533-position model. The record is from RNAcentral.